AUACGAAGGGGGCGUAGCGUUGCUCGGAAUGACUGGGCGUAAAGGGCGUGUAGGCGGUUUACACAGUCAGAUGUGAGAUCCCCGGGCUUAACCUGGGAGCUGCAUUUGAUACGUGUAGACUAGAGUGUGAGAGAGGGUUGUGGAAUUCCCAGUGUAGAGGUGAAAUUCGUAGAUAUUGGGAAGAACACCGGUGGCGAAGGCGGCAACCUGGCUCAUGACUGACGCUGAGGCGCGAAAGCGUGGGGAGGC
Molecule: ribosomal RNA, 249 nt
Filed under: uncultured bacterium
Lineage: Bacteria
Description: partial 16S ribosomal RNA
Rfam family: Bacterial small subunit ribosomal RNA
Source: RNAcentral